CAAAAACAUCGCCUCUUGACAUGUUAUAAGAGGUCCAGCCUGCCCAGUGACUCUGUUCAACGGCCGCGGUAUCCUAACCGUGCGAAGGUAGCGUAAUCACUUGUUCUUUAAAUGAGGACUAGUAUGAAUGGCACCACGAGGGUUAUACUGUCUCCUCUUUCUAAUCAGUGAAAUUAAUCUCCCCGUGAAGAAGCGAGGAUUAAGCUAUAAGACGAGAAGACCCUAUGGAGCUUUAAACAAAGUUACACCUGCAUCAAUUUAAUACAAAUUUCAGAAAAUCUUCUUAGCCCAUGCAAAUUGUUUACUAGUUUUAGGUUGGGGUGACCGCGGAGCAAAAAGUAACCUCCACAUUGAAAGGAGCCUAAUCCUUAGCUAAGAGCCACACCUCCAAGCACCAAUAAAAUGACAUCAAUUGACCCAAUAAUUUGAUCAACGAACCAAGUUACCCUAGGGAUAACAGCGCAAUCCAUUUCAAGAGCCCCUAUCGACAAAUGGGUUUACGACCUCGAUGUUGGAUCAGGGUAUCCCAGUGGUGCAGCCGCUACUAAAGGUUCGUUUGUUCAACGAUUGAAACCCU
This 577-nucleotide ribosomal RNA is filed under the name Vitreorana oyampiensis group sp. ABGD cluster 6. RNAcentral describes it as "partial large subunit ribosomal RNA". It matches the Rfam family "Bacterial large subunit ribosomal RNA", at positions 1808 to 2597 of the family's 2925-position model. The record is from RNAcentral. Lineage: Eukaryota; Metazoa; Chordata; Amphibia; Anura; Centrolenidae.